Molecule: ribosomal RNA, 484 nt
Filed under: uncultured bacterium
Lineage: Bacteria
Description: partial 16S ribosomal RNA
Rfam family: Bacterial small subunit ribosomal RNA
Source: RNAcentral
AUUGAACGCUGGCGGAAUGCUUUACACAUGCAAGUCGAGCGGCAGCACGGGGGCAACCCUGGUGGCGAGCGGCGAACGGGUGAGUAAUACAUCGGAACAUGCCCAGUCGUGGGGGAUAACACUUCGAAAGAAGUGCUAAUACCGCAUACGUCCUGAGGGAGAAAGCGGGUGAUCGCAAGACCUCGCGCGAUUGGAGUGGCCGAUGUCAGAUUGGCUAGUUGGUGGGGUAAAGGCCUACCAAGGCAACGAUCUGUAGCUGGUCUGAGAGGAUGAUCAGCCACACUGGGACUGAGACACGGCCCAGACUCCUACGGGAGGCAGCAGUGGGGAAUUUUGGACAAUGGGGGCAACCCUGAUCCAGCCAUUCCGCGUGAGUGAAGAAGGCCUUCGGGUUGUAAAGCUCUUUCGGCAGGAACGAAACGGCGAGCUCUAACAUAGCUUGCUAAUGACGGUACCUGAAGAAGAAGCACCGGCUAACUACGUG